AUUUUUCUUGGAAAGACAUUUUUUAUGGUGAAAGAUUAUAGGUCAUUUUGUAUGUGCCCUAGUUAGGAGGUCAACCUCCAAGAACCAUAACUUGCUCAAUCUGUAUGAUAUGAAUACCAUACAAGUUUCAUGAUUAAACUCAAGAUCUCUUAUUCAACUUUUAUUCUUUGAGAAAUGUUAAAUACAACUUGCAAGAGCAUGUGCCAAGAGGAAACAUUCUAGGUCAUUUUGGGUCAUCAUCAUUGAACA
This 249-nucleotide long non-coding RNA is filed under the name Lathyrus oleraceus (garden pea). Its description in RNAcentral is "Pisum sativum (pea) long non-coding RNA (PSAT_LNC015194)". Lineage: Eukaryota; Viridiplantae; Streptophyta; Magnoliopsida; Fabales; Fabaceae. The record is from RNAcentral.